This 1212-nucleotide ribosomal RNA is filed under the name Triticum aestivum (bread wheat). RNAcentral describes it as "partial small subunit ribosomal RNA". The record is from RNAcentral. Lineage: Eukaryota; Viridiplantae; Streptophyta; Magnoliopsida; Poales; Poaceae.
AUGGGCGCCCUGCUGUCCACCACGGAGGCCCUGGUCCCGCACUUCAGGAGCCUCGUCUCCGGCCUGCUCCCGCCCGCAUCCUGCGUCAUCUCCGACGUUGAGCACGUCCUGCAUGCGUCCAAGAAGAUGGGCCUUCGCUGCGUCACCUUCUGGACGACGAGCGCGUUCGCCUUCAUGGCGUCCCAGCAAUUGCAGCGGCUCGUGGAUGCGGGCAUUGUCCCCCUCAAAGAGGCUGAGCAGCUGAGGAAUGGAUACCUGGACGACACGGUUGUGGACUGGGUGCCGGGGAUGCCCAGCGACAUCCGCCUCAGAGACUUCCCGAGCUUCAUCCGCACCACGGACCCCGACGACGCCAUACUCAAAAUCAUCCUGAACGCAAUGGCGUGCCACAGGACCACUCCGUCCGCCAUCAUCUUCCACACCUUCGACGAGAUCGACCGCGAGGCCAUGGCGGCCAUGUCCACCAUCCUGCCACCGACCUACGCCGUCGGGCCACUGCCGCUCCUCCUCGGCCAAGUCUCUGGCGGCGGCGUGGUCGACACACUAGAAUCAAACUUGUCAAGGGUGAACCACGCCUCCCUAGAGUGGCUGGAGGGCAAGCGGCCAGACUCGGUGCUGUACGUGAGCUUCGGGAGCAUAGCGACGCUCACGAGCAGCCAGCUGGUGGAGUUCGCGUGGGGUCUGGCCAACAGCAAGAAGGACUUCCUGUGGGUGAUCAGAGACGAUCUAGUGAGCGACGGCGACGGCCCUGCCGCCGCCGUGCUGCCACCGGAGUUCCUGGAGGAGACGAAGGCGAGGAGCCACGUGACGAGCUGGUGCCCGCAGGAGGCGGUGCUCCGGCACGAGGCCACGGGCGCGUUCCUGACGCAGUGCGGGUGGAACUCCGUCCUGGAGAGCCUCAGCGCCGGGGUGCCCAUGCUGUGCUGGCCCUUCGGCGCCGACCAGUACACGAACGCGAGGUACGUCUGCUCCGAGUGGCGCGUCGGCGUGGAGAUCGGCGGCGAUGUCAAGAGGGGCGAGGUGGAGGCGGCCGUCAAGGAGGUGAUGGGAGGAGACGGGGGAAAGGAGAUGAAGAGAAUGGCCAUGGAAUGGAAGGAGAAGGCUGCCAUGGCUGCACUGCCUGGUGGGCCAUCUUGGGUAAAUCUGGAGAAGGUGGUUAAUGAGGUGCUUGCUGUGCAACCUAGCAAGAUCAGUGAUACUACGGGAUUAUGA